CCGGCACGGGUGGAGUAACACGUAUCCAACCUGCCGUCUACUCUUGGACAGCCUUCUGAAGGAAGAUUAAUACAAGAUGGCAUCAUGAGUCCGCAUGUUCACAUGAUUAAAGGUAUUCCGGUAGACGAUGGGGAUGCGUUCCAUUAGAUAGUAGGCGGGGUAACGGCCCACCUAGUCUUCGAUGGAUAGGGGUUCUGAGAGGAAGGUCCCCCACAUUGGAACUGAGACACGGUCCAA
RNAcentral lists this ribosomal RNA (237 nucleotides) under uncultured bacterium. RNAcentral's name for it is "partial 16S ribosomal RNA". It matches the Rfam family "Bacterial small subunit ribosomal RNA", at positions 100 to 334 of the family's 1533-position model. The record is from RNAcentral.